This 332-nucleotide ribosomal RNA is filed under the name uncultured eukaryote. RNAcentral's name for it is "partial 18S ribosomal RNA". It matches the Rfam family "Eukaryotic small subunit ribosomal RNA", at positions 592 to 976 of the family's 1831-position model. The record is from RNAcentral.
CAAUAGCGUAUAUUAAAGUUGUUGCAGUUAAAAAGUUCGUAGUUGAAUUUCGGGUCCCCGCGCUCGGCGCUUCAUUGUGCCGUCGUGGUGUCCCUCCUCGCCGUAAGGCGUCCUUUACUGUGAAAAAAUUAGAGUGUUCAAAGCAGGCAAUCGCUUGAAUACAUUAGCAUGGAAUAAUAAGAUAGGAUCUUGUCUAUUUUGUUGGUUGCGGACAACGAUAAUGAUUAAUAGGGAUAGUUGGGGGUGUCCGUAUUGAGCUGUCAGAGGUGAAAUUCUUGGAUUUGCUCAAGACGAACUACUGCGAAAGCAUUCACCAAGGAUGUUUUCAUUAA